GUUUAUGCCGCAAUGAGGCUUAAGCCACAGGUUUUAGAAAAUCGAAUUACAGAAACGAAGUCUGUUUUAAGCAGCAGCCUAAACACCCUAUGGAAAACCGGUAUUUUAAGCCACAGCUUAUGCGUGGCCAUAGGCUGGUCUAACCCUCGGCGAAAAGUGAUGCAAGCGCAUUUUUUGUUCAAUAAACAGACGAAAAGUCGCCAUUUCUUUUGCUAUUUCAUCAUUGAAAAUAGAUCUUUUACAGAUUGUAGAUGAAUGUAAUGGCAGGAAUAGAUGCUAUCUGAAGAGCAGAAAGGAAGGUAUCAUCAGAAGGCAAUGAAAAAUUG
This 326-nucleotide long non-coding RNA is filed under the name Androctonus crassicauda. The record is from RNAcentral. Lineage: Eukaryota; Metazoa; Arthropoda; Arachnida; Scorpiones; Buthidae.